UAACACUUACUAAGUGCUGUCUUUUCUA
RNAcentral lists this non-coding RNA (28 nucleotides) under Mus musculus (house mouse). The record is from RNAcentral. Lineage: Eukaryota; Metazoa; Chordata; Mammalia; Rodentia; Muridae.